Molecule: ribosomal RNA, 255 nt
Filed under: uncultured bacterium
Lineage: Bacteria
Description: partial 16S ribosomal RNA
Rfam family: Bacterial small subunit ribosomal RNA
Source: RNAcentral
UACGAAGGUGGCAAGCGUUACUCGGAAUUACUAGGCGUAAAGGGCAGGUAGGUGGUUUGGUUAGUCUGUUGUGAAAGCUCCUUGCUUAACGGGGGAGAGGUCAACAGAUACUGCCAGACUUGAGUAUAGGAGAGGGUACUGGAAUUCCCGGUGUAGCGGUGAAAUGCGCAGAGAUCGGGAGGAACACCAAUGGCGAAAAGCAGGUACCUGGACUAUUACUGACACUCAGCUGCGAAAGCUAGGGGAGCAAACAGG